Molecule: ribosomal RNA, 338 nt
Filed under: uncultured bacterium
Lineage: Bacteria
Description: partial 16S ribosomal RNA
Rfam family: Bacterial small subunit ribosomal RNA
Source: RNAcentral
CCUACGGGUGGCUGCAGUGGGGAAUAUUGCACAAUGGGGGAAACCCUGAUGCAGCGACGCCGCGUGAGUGAAGAAGUAUUUCGGUACGUAAAGCUCUAUCAGCAGGGAAGAAAAUGACGGUACCUGACUAAGAAGCCCCGGCUAACUACGUGCCAGCGGCCGCGGUAAUACGUAGGGGGCAAGCGUUAUCCGGAUUUACUGGGUGUAAAGGGAGCGUAGACGGCAGCGCAAGUCUGUAGUGAAAGUCCAGGGCUUAACCAUGGAACUGCUUUGGAAACUGUCAAUCUAGAGUGCAGGAGAGGUAGGGGGAAUUCGUGGUGGAGGGGGGAAUUGAGUAG